CCUCCGGUAGCUCAGCAGGAAGAGCGAACAGAGCACAAUAUAGUGUGACAAACGAAUGGAUCUCUGUGGACGCUGGUUCGAGUCCAGCUCGGAGGG
Non-coding RNA from Stereum hirsutum FP-91666 SS1, 96 nucleotides. NCBI's taxonomy places the organism in Eukaryota, Fungi, Basidiomycota, Agaricomycetes, Russulales, Stereaceae. The record is from the annotation of a RefSeq genome assembly.